RNAcentral lists this RNase P RNA (230 nucleotides) under Vibrio parahaemolyticus. RNAcentral's name for it is "partial RNase P RNA component class A". It matches the Rfam family "Bacterial RNase P class A", at positions 7 to 238 of the family's 367-position model. Rfam says of the family: Ribonuclease P (RNase P) is a ubiquitous endoribonuclease, found in archaea, bacteria and eukarya as well as chloroplasts and mitochondria. Its best characterised activity is the generation of mature 5'-ends of tRNAs by cleaving the 5'-leader elements of precursor-tRNAs. The record is from RNAcentral. Lineage: Bacteria; Pseudomonadati; Pseudomonadota; Gammaproteobacteria; Vibrionales; Vibrionaceae.
GGCCAGACAGUCGCGUCACUCGCAAGAGUGCCGAGGAAAGUCCGGGCUCCAUAGGGCAAGGUGCCAGGUAACGCCUGGGCGGCGCAAGCCGACGGACAGUGCAACAGAAAGAUACCGCCUACGUUCCUUUCGGGGAGCCGGUAAGGGUGAAAUGGUGCGGUAAGAGCGCACCGCGAGUCCGGUAACGGACCGGCACGGCAAACCCCACCUGGAGCAAGACCAAAUAGGGA